CAAGACGUAGCUUAACUAAAGCAUUCAGCUUACACCUGAAAGAUACCUACUCACCACAGGUCGUCUUGA
RNAcentral lists this transfer RNA (69 nucleotides) under Nesoptilotis leucotis (White-eared honeyeater). RNAcentral describes it as "tRNA-Val". The record is from RNAcentral. Lineage: Eukaryota; Metazoa; Chordata; Aves; Passeriformes; Meliphagidae.